ACCCUUUAAUGUUUGAUGUUCUAACGUGGACCCGUGAUCCGGGUUGCGGACAGUGUCUGGUGGGUAGUUUGACUGGGGCGGUCUCCUCCUAAAGAGUAACGGAGGAGCACGAAGGUUGGCUAAUCCUGGUCGGACAUCAGGAGGUUAGUGCAAUGGCAUAAGCCAGCUUGACUGCGAGCGUGACGGCGCGAGCAGGUGCGAAAGCAGGUCAUAGUGAUCCGGUGGUUCUGAAUGGAAGGGCCAUCGCUCAACGGAUAAAAGGUACUCCGGGGAUAACAGGCUGAUACCGCCCAAGAGUUCAUAUCGACGGCGGUGUUUGGCACCUCGAUGUCGGCUCAUCACAUCCUGGGGCUGAAGUAGGUCCCAAGGGUAUGGCUGUUCGCCAUUUAAAGUGGUACGCGAGCUGGGUUUAGAACGUCGUGAGACAGUUCGGUCCCUAUCUGCCGUGGGCGCUGGAGAACUGAGGGGGGCUGCUCCUAGUACGAGAGGACCGGAGUGGACGCAUCACUGGUGUUCGGGUUGUCAUGCCAAUGGCACUGCCCGGUAGCUAAAUGCGGAAGAGAUAAGUGCUGAAAGCAUCUAAGCACGAAACUUGCCCCGAGAUGAGUUCUCCCUGAGACUUAGAGUCUCCUGAAGGAACGUUGAAGACGACGACGUUGAUAGGCCGGGUGUGUAAGCGCAGCGAUGCGUUGAGCUAACCGGUACUAAUGAACCGUG
RNAcentral lists this ribosomal RNA (717 nucleotides) under Salmonella enterica. RNAcentral's name for it is "partial 23S ribosomal RNA". It matches the Rfam family "Bacterial large subunit ribosomal RNA", at positions 2202 to 2912 of the family's 2925-position model. The record is from RNAcentral. Lineage: Bacteria; Pseudomonadati; Pseudomonadota; Gammaproteobacteria; Enterobacterales; Enterobacteriaceae.